RNAcentral lists this long non-coding RNA (2598 nucleotides) under Homo sapiens (human). RNAcentral's name for it is "HSALNT0282491". Lineage: Eukaryota; Metazoa; Chordata; Mammalia; Primates; Hominidae. The record is from RNAcentral.
CAAUAAGGUUCGUGCUCCUAUGAGAAUCUAAUGCCACUGCUGAUCUGACAGGAGGCGGAGCUUAGGUGGUAAUGCUUGCUUGCCUGCUGCCCACCUCCUGCUGUGUGGACCAAUUCCUAAUAGGCCAUGGACCAGUACCAGUCCGUGUCCUGGGGGUUGGGAACCCCUGCUGUAGAGGGUCAGGGUAGUGGAGCUAAUACAAGGUAAGGCCCAGGAGCCUCGUGCAGCAUCAAUAAAUGCGACCUAUAUAGUGAGAAGGGGGGGUCCUGUAUCAGGUGAGGCCAUAGGUGCCUGUAUAGGCUGAGGUCAGGGCUUAAAGUAAAUGGUCAAGACAGGCAUUCCUGCCAUAAGGUCAGGAAGUGGUUUUCUAUACAAGUUAAAGACUGAGGUUCAUGUUGAGAGUUGGAUCAUGGGUUCCUGUGGACUCUAUGGGAUAGGGUGUGAGGUCAUGGAUUGUUGUGCAGGGCAACAUCAGGGAUCAUUGUCAACAAUGAAGGCAAGAGGUUCCACACACAGUCAGGGUCCUUGAAGAGGUUGAGGACAGGGAUUUCUGUAAAGACAGAGCUGGGUCCAUGGUUUACUACUCAGAUUAUUGUGAGUGAGGUGUUUUUAAAAUGCUACCUGGAGGACAGGACUGCAGCAGUGUGAGUACAAAGGUGUUCCUGUCUGAGGUCAAGACAGGAUUCGUAUAGGGAGACUGAGGCUUGUGUGGAUGGUCAGGACAAGGGUUCCUGUCCAGGGUGUGCAGGGGCUUCCUUACAGCUUAGUCCAGAUGUCCCUAGCUGGGGUUAGGCAGAGGUUCCUCCUAUUCAGGGUAAGCGCUGGCAUUCCUGUACAGGAUCAGGAUGGGUUUCCUGUCGAUAAUUAGAUGAAGGGCUCCCCUAGAGCUUCAGAGCUAGUCUUCUGUACCAGGCUGGGGGAGCUAUACUUAUGGGGGUGAGGCCCGGGGCUCCUGAACAAGGUGGGGCCAGACAUGUGUCCAGCACAGGUUCUGAAGGGGGUUUUUAGAGGAUGGGGCCUCCUGCAGGGUGUGAGGGCUGGGCUUCUGAGGGGAGGCCAGACACGUGUCUUUUAUGGGAUCAGGGCUGUUGUGGACAAUGCCCACAGUGAGCAUAAUAGACUCCUGUGAUUCUGCAGCAGGCUACUUAGUGGAGCUGGAAUGCCCGCUAGCUGAUGGGCUGGUGUUCUGUGGAGGACAGCUGCUUACCUAUAAUAUGGUCAGGACCUGUGGGUCCCUGCAACCCCCAUAUCCGGGGCUCUAGGGAAGAAGCCAUAAAGAGCGGUUAAGUGUGAGCAGCACUUAUUUGCUGGGCUGGGUGUGUCACCCCAUCCAAAAUCCACUCCUUAAACUUGGUGGUCAGGGUAAGUUACUCAUCAGUUCUGGGCCUCACUCUUCCAUUAGUGAAAUGAGUAUGGGUAUAUUUUCCUCAGAAUAUUUAUUUCAGGCACUAAUGAACUAAAGCAACUGGAGCCUCCCAGCCUGCCGCCUGACCCACAGUGAGCCCUUAGGAAAGGGUGCUGCUGGCUGUGGGGUGUGGCUGAGCACAUGGACACCAGGCCAGACUGCCCCGCUGGGCCCCUUGCCACUGGCUGUGUGGCCUCCAUUGAGCCACUUAAGCAGUCUGCCUUAGGAUGCUUAAGGCAUGACUCAGAUUAUGCUCCUGUGUGUUUGUGAAAUUGAGGAACAGACUCCGCUGUGGGGGGAGCAGUUCACCCAGGGCUGCAGGCUGAGCUGGGCUGAGCAAGAUAAGACCAGUCCGACAGGAAGACCCACGGACAACCCUGCGCCCCAGCACUGGCCUCUGACCUUGCCAGCUACCAUUCCAGCUCCACCCUUCUCCGUGUUCCUUUCCUGAAUGUGUCUUUUGUCCCUUGGAAGAGAGUCCCUAACUUAUACCCUCUGAAACUCUGCUGUUGAGACCUCCACAAACAAAUGUACACAGAGCUGCUCAUGUUGUCAGCCACUCAGAGACACUGUGACAUGGCACAUGCCACACGUAAUGCACACACACGCACACCCAUGCCCAUGCACAGGGACUUGCACUGAAAUAUUGCCAUCGCCAGACCCACAAACACAUCCUGACACACACUUCUUGUUCAACAUUCCAAGAAUCUUUACCAGAUUCUGUGCCCACCACGUAUGCUGUCAUGCUGUCUAAAAGGUCCCCCAGCGUCAUGCCGUCUCAAAGGUCCCCCAGCGUCAUGCCCAGCCACAAGACCACAGCCCCGCACACCUCCUUAUCACCUGCUCCAGCACACACACUUCCAGUGUGCUUAUAGUCACCCGGCACCACCCCCACCGUCAGCAAGCCCUGCGUGGCCUCUUACCAUGACAUAUGGAACCACCUGGACACUUCACAAGAAGUUUCACAUAGAUUGUUCCAAUCACACAACAUAACCCUUGGUCACAAAGUGUCACAUGUGCCGCCUCAGCCAGCCUCACAUGGUCACACAUUGCAGCCAUGCACUGUCAUCAGAGAGCCACAGGCAUUGUUACACACUCCACUCAGCUCUGCUGUUCAGCCACACAUAGACACACCCACAAUUUCAGGACUUUGGUGGUUUUAUUUUACAAAAGCUUUGAAGGUUCAAGCCAGG